This 1569-nucleotide ribosomal RNA is filed under the name Trachypithecus poliocephalus (white-headed langur). RNAcentral describes it as "16S ribosomal RNA". It matches the Rfam family "Bacterial large subunit ribosomal RNA". Lineage: Eukaryota; Metazoa; Chordata; Mammalia; Primates; Cercopithecidae. The record is from RNAcentral.
GCCAACACUAGCCCAAAAAACCAAUCAAUACUAUUAUCAAAUAAGUAUAUAUAUAUAUAUUAAAUCAUUCACAAAUAUAAAAGUAUAGGUGAUAGAAAAUUUAUUCUGGCGCUAUAGAUAUAGUACCGCAAGGGAAAGAUGAAAAAAAAAACUAAGCAUAAAAUAGCAAGGACUUACCCCUAUACCUUCUGCAUAAUGAGCCAGCUAGAAAUUAUUUCGCAAAGAGAACUAAAGCCAAAUACCCCGAAACCAGACGAGCUACCCAAAAACAGCUAAAAGAGCACACCCGUCUAUGUGGCAAAAUAGUGGGAAGAUUUUUAGGUAGAGGUGAUACACCUACCGAGCCUGGCGAUAGCUGGUUAUCCAAGAUAGAAUCUUAGUUCAACCUUAAGCCUACCCGCAGAACCACUAAUCCCCCUGUAAGCUUAAUUGUUAGUCUAAGGAGGGACAGCUCCUUAGACACUAGGAAAAAACCUUGUAUAGAGAGUAAAAAUUCCAGCCCUCAUAGUUGGCCUAAAAGCAGCCAUCAAUUAAGAAAGCGUUCAAGCUCAACAUUAAACACUCAAAGAAAUUCCAAACACUUAACUGAACUCCUAACAUCACAUUGGAUUAAUCUAUUACACUAUAGAAGUAAUAAUGCUAGUAUUAGUAACAUGAAUAAAUUCUCCUACGCAUAAGCCUAAAUCGGAUCGAAAACCUCACCGAUACUUAACAGCCUAAUACUAAUAAUUAUAAACAAGCCAGUAUUACUAAUACUGUUAACCCAACACAGGCGUGCUAUCCGGGAAAGGUUAAAAGAAGUAAAAGGAACUCGGCAAAUAUAGCCCCGCCUGUUUACCAAAAACAUCACCUCUAGCAUUACUAAUAUUAGAGGCACUGCCUGCCCAGUGACACAUGUUUAACGGCCGCGGUACCCUGACCGUGCAAAGGUAGCAUAAUCACUUGUUCUUUAAAUAGGGACUUGCAUGAAUGGCAACACGAGGGUUUAACUGUCUCUUACUUCCAACCAGUGAAAUUGACCUGUCCGUGAAGAGGCGGACAUAAAAUAAUAAGACGAGAAGACCCUGUGGAGCUUCAAUCUACUAGUGCAAUCAUAAUAACAUAAACCUAUGGGUUUAACAUAUCCUGACCCUGCAUUUAAAAUUUUGGUUGGGGUGACCUCGGAGCACAACUAAACCUCCGAAUAAGCUAUGCCAAGACUGAACAAGUUAAAGCGAAUUAAUAUUUACAAUUGACCCAAUAAUUUGAUCAACGGAAUAAGUUACCCCAGGGAUAACAGCGCAAUCCUAUUCCAGAGUUCAUAUCGACAAUAGGGUUUACGACCUCGAUGUUGGAUCAGGACAUCCUAAUGGUGCAGCAGCUAUCAAGGGUUCGUUUGUUCAACGAUUAAAGUCCUACGUGAUCUGAGUUCAGACCGGAGCAAUCCAGGUCGGUUUCUAUCUAUUUUACAUUUCUCCCUGUACGAAAGGACAAGAGAAAUAAAGCCUACUUCAUAAAGUGCCUUCCUUCCAUAAAUGACCUAGUCUCAAUUUAACAAAAAUCUACACAUACAGCCCAAGAACAGGGCUU